CAGGAUCAAUGAUGUGACUAUUAACUGCGUUAUCUUUCUGCAACCUUUUGAAGGGUGCUGAAGAACACAUUACCUGCUGAGAUCCAUG
This is a small nucleolar RNA of Panicum hallii, 88 nucleotides long. RefSeq annotates it as small nucleolar RNA snoR27. The transcript has a single exon. The record is from RefSeq and is a predicted model, not a curated record. NCBI's taxonomy places the organism in Eukaryota, Viridiplantae, Streptophyta, Magnoliopsida, Poales, Poaceae.